CCUGGUUGAUCCUGCCAGUAGCUAUAUGCUCGUCUCAAAGGCUAAGCCAUGCAAGUGCAAGUACGAAUUGAUUGAUAACGACACUGCGAAAGGCUCAUUAAAUCAGUCGUGGUUUACGUGGUCGUGCGGCGACCGUGUCGGAAAAUGGAUAACCGUGGAAAAUCUAGAGCUAAUACAUGCAAAAGGCGCCGACUUCGGGAGGCGUGCGUUUAUUGGAGUAGCGUCGGCCGGCGUCUUUCGGGGCGCCGUCGAUAGUUGCUGACUCUGGAUAACUGAGCGGAUCGCCCAUUGCAAUGGGCGACGUACCAUUCGAACGUCUGACCUAUCAACUUUUGUCGGUACGGUCUCGGCCUACCGAGGUGCUUACGGGUGACGGGGAAUCAGGGUUCGAUUCCGGAGAGGAAGCCCGAGAAACGGCUGCCACUUCCAAGGAAGGCAGCAGGCGCGCAAAUUACCCACUUCAGACUCUGAGAGGUAGUGACGAGAGAUAACGGUGCGGGCCCACACGAUGGGCGUCGCAACCGCAAUGAGAGCAGAUCAAAAAUCUGCGUCGGGUCGCGUUCGCGCGUCCCUUUCGAGUAUCGAUCGGAGGGCAAGUCUGGUGCCAGCAGCCGCGGUAAUUCCAGCUCCGAAAGUGUAUGCUAACUUUGUUGUGGUUAAAAAGCUCGUAGUUGAUCGGUGACCUCCUGGUCGGGACGAGCGGACGAUCGGAUGCCCUUGCGCUUCGCGGCGCGGGGCGGAUGGUCGGAUGCGCCGGCCGGAGGCAGAAGAACCACACGAGGCGGCGGCCUGGCAUAAAGGGUCGUCGCCUGGUCGAAGUCAAUCGCCCUGAAAGAAAGUAAGCGUAUCAGGGCAGGUCGAAGGAUUCGACCUUGAAGCACGUCGCAGGGUACGACGAAAGAGGGCCGCGGCUCCGCCGCCGGCGCCGGAUGUACGCGCGGCAAUGAUCGAGAGAGACGGACGGGGGCAUUCGUACUGUGCCGGGAGGGGUGAAAUCCGUUGAUCGGCGCAAGACGAACUGAAGCGAAAGCGUCUGCCAAGGACGUUUUCCUUAAUCAAGAGCGAAAGUCGGAGGUUCGAAGACGAUCAGAUACCGUCGUAGUUCCGACCGUAAACGACGCCGACCGCGCCGUCGCCAGACGCACCGCUUUCGAAUGGUCGUGGUGGCGGCGUCCCGAGGGAAACCGUUCUCGGUUCCAGGGGAAGUAUGGUCGCAAAGCUGAAACUUAAAGGAAUUGACGGAAGGGCACCACCAGGAGUGGAGCCUGCGGCUUAAUUUGACUCAACGCGGGGAAACUCACCCGGCCCGGACGUGACGAGGAUUGACAGAUUGAAGAGCUCUUUCUUGAUUUUGCGAAUGGUGGUGCAUGGCCGUUCUUAGUUCGUGGAACGAUUCGUCUGGUCUAUUCCGAUAACGAACGAGACUCGAAUGUGCGUGUUCCGCGGGGUCGGCCGCUGUCCCGCGCGCCUUUCGGGGCGCCGGGGCACGUUGUAUGGUCGAGCUCCAGCUUGAUGCGGAACUCGAAAGACAAGCGGCUUUCGGAAGCCGUACGAGAUCGAGCAAUAACAGGUCUGUGAUGCCCUUCGAUGUCCGGGGCUGCACGCGCGCUACAAUGGUCGAAGCAGAACGAACAACGGGACUCGGUGCCUCCCUCUCGCGAGGGGGCGGGUCUCACCCGGCUCGGGAGUGCCGGGAGAUCGAGGGAAACUCGAUCGCGAUCGGGACAGAGAAAUGAAACGAGACUCUCGAACGAGGAAUUCCAAGUAGGCGCGAGUCAUCAUCUCGCGUCGACUGCGUCCCUGCCCUUUGUACACACCGCCCGUCGCUACUACCGAUCGAGCGUUCUAGCGAGGUCGCCGGACUUCGGACCCCGUCCUUCGGGGAUCGAGCGAAGGCGAUCGAACUAAUGCGCUUAGAGGAAGUAAAAGUCGUAACAAGGUUUCCGUAGGUGAACCUGCGGAAG
Molecule: ribosomal RNA, 1964 nt
Filed under: sea squirt metagenome
Description: SSU rRNA
Rfam family: Eukaryotic small subunit ribosomal RNA
Source: RNAcentral